RNAcentral lists this small RNA (879 nucleotides) under Pongo abelii (Sumatran orangutan). RNAcentral describes it as "processed transcript". The record is from RNAcentral. Lineage: Eukaryota; Metazoa; Chordata; Mammalia; Primates; Hominidae.
UUGUAGUGCCGCGAGUUGAGCUCCUCUUGCCUAAGUGGUCGCGCCCCCUUUAAGAGCAGCGAUUGGAAGGCGAGGCGGUCCCGGUGUCCUCGGGUCCCAGGUGAUUGUGAAGUGCUGACCAGUUGCCACUGGACAUACUUGAAACAAAAUAGGAAAAUGGCAGCAAACUCUUCAGGACAAGACAAGGUCUCGCUGUGUUGCCCAGGCUGAUCUUGAACUCCUGGCCUCAGGUGAUCCUCCUGCCUCAGCUUCCCAAAGCACUAGGAUUACAAAUGUUUUCAAAACAAAAAUAGAGUUGCAAUCUUGGCAGAACUGGACAAAGAGAAAAGAAAACUACUUAUGCAGAACCAGUCUUCAACAAAUCAUCCUGGAGCUAGCAUGCUCAUGCACAUUCAUCUGGAUACUUCAUCACUCAAGACUCUGCAUUUGGGAACCUUAUUCUUCCUGUUUUACCUCGCCUUGACCCAGAAUGAAGAAAACAUUUGCGAUGGAAAAGUGACUUUGUAAUAUCAAAUGCCAAAGCUACUAUCAUUCAGUGCUACAUGAACUGUGACUUUAAGAAUUUUGGUGAACUUUGAUAUUUUUUGUUUGUCUGAAAGAAAGGAAUGUAUAAGUGAAAGCAGAAAGAAGAGUAACCAGGAUGAUGAGAGUUGUGGAAGCUGUAUCUUCCAAGGAAUUGAUUAUGUACCGUGACGGUAACUUUUUUGUAAUGCUGUUUAACUCUCAAUCAGACUCUGAACUGGAUGGUCACGAAGUCAUUCCCCAACUCCUAGCAAGUUUGACUGAAUAUAUCAUGUCCACAGUAGAUUUUCAAGAAUCAUUUAUAGUACUUAACUUUAAAGAAACAAGGGUGCUUUUAAAAAAUGAACCGAUAGGCUU